This 253-nucleotide ribosomal RNA is filed under the name uncultured bacterium. RNAcentral's name for it is "partial 16S ribosomal RNA". It matches the Rfam family "Bacterial small subunit ribosomal RNA", at positions 524 to 776 of the family's 1533-position model. The record is from RNAcentral.
UACGAAGGGGGCUAGCGUUGUUCGGAAUUACUGGGCGUAAAGCGCACGUAGGCGGAAUGUUAAGUCAGGGGUGAAAUCCCGGGGCUCAACCCCGGAACUGCCUUUGAUACUGGCAUUCUCGAGUCCGGAAGAGGUGAGUGGAAUUCCGAGUGUAGAGGUGAAAUUCGUAGAUAUUCGGAGGAACACCAGUGGCGAAGGCGGCUCACUGGUCCGGUACUGACGCUGAGGUGCGAAAGCGUGGGGAGCAAACGGG